UGGGGAAUUUUGCACAAUGGGCGAAAGCCUGAUCCAGCCAUGCCGCGUGUGUGAAGAAGGCCUUCGGGUUGUAAAGCACUUUUAUCCGGAACGAAACGCGCAGGGUGAAUAGCCUUGCGAACUGACGGUACCGGAGGAAUAAGCACCGGCUAACUUCGUGCCAGCAGCCGCGGUAAUACGAAGGGUGCAAGCGUUACUCGGAAUUACUGGGCGUAAAGCGUGCGUAGGUGGUUUGUUAAGUCUGUUGUGAAAGCCCCGGGCUCAACCUGGGAAUGGCAAUGGAUACUGGCAAGCUAGAGUGCGGUAGAGGGUAGUGGAAUUCCCGGUGUAGCGGUGAAAUGCGUAGGUAUCAGGAGGAACACCGGUGGCGAAGGCGGCUUCCUGGCAUGUAACUGACACUCAUGUUCGAAAGCGUGGGUAGCAAACAGGAUUAGAUACCCUGGUAGUCCACGCCCUAAACGAUGGGCACUAGGUGUGGGAGGUAUCGACCCCUUCCGUGCCGCAGCUAACGCAUUAAGUGCCCCGCCUGGGGAGUACGGCCGCAAGGUUG
RNAcentral lists this ribosomal RNA (550 nucleotides) under uncultured bacterium. RNAcentral describes it as "bacterial SSU rRNA". It matches the Rfam family "Bacterial small subunit ribosomal RNA", at positions 355 to 896 of the family's 1533-position model. The record is from RNAcentral.